Molecule: ribosomal RNA, 253 nt
Filed under: uncultured bacterium
Lineage: Bacteria
Description: partial 16S ribosomal RNA
Rfam family: Bacterial small subunit ribosomal RNA
Source: RNAcentral
UACGAAGGGGGCUAGCGUUGUUCGGAUUCAUUGGGCGUAAAGGGUGCGUAGGCGGCGCGGUAAGUCGGGUGUGAAAUCUCGGAGCUUAACUCCGAAACUGCAUUCGAUACUGCCGUGCUUGAGGACUGGAGAGGAGACUGGAAUUUACGGUGUAGCGGUGAAAUGCGUAGAUAUCGAGAGGAACACCUGCGGCGAAGGCGGGUUGCUGGGCUGACACUGACGCUGAUGCGCGAAAGCUAGGGGAGCGAACGGG